CCUACGGGGGGCAGCAGUGAGGAAUAUUGGUCAAUGGACGAGAGUCUGAACCAGCCAAGUAGCGUGAAGGAUGACUGCCCUAUGGGUUGUAAACUUCUUUUAUAUGGGAAUAAAAUGUUCCACGUGUGGGAUUUUGUAUGUACCAUAUGAAUAAGGAUCGGCUAACUCCGUGCCAGCAGCCGCGGUAAUACGGAGGAUCCGAGCGUUAUCCGGAUUUAUUGGGUUUAAAGGGAGCGUGGGUGGAUUGUUAAGUCAGUUGUGAAAGUUUGCGGCUCAACCGUAAAAUUGCAGUUGAAACUGGCAGUCUUGAGUACAGUAGAGGUGGGCGGAAUUCGUGGUGUAGCGGUGAAAUGCUUAGAUAUCACGAAGAACUCCGAUUGCGAAGGCAGUUCACUGGACUGCAACUGACACUGAGGCUCGAAAGUGUGGGUAUCAAACAGGAUUAGAUACCCCAGUAGUC
Molecule: ribosomal RNA, 460 nt
Filed under: uncultured bacterium
Lineage: Bacteria
Description: partial 16S ribosomal RNA
Rfam family: Bacterial small subunit ribosomal RNA
Source: RNAcentral